GAACAUUGCGUCAACUACACGUAGACAGGUCAUUUCGCCAUUACGUUUUUGUUAUAAAAAUAUUAUAAGCCCUAUGUUCGGUUAGAUUAGUUACCAUAGUUUAAUUAUACUUUGAAUUUCACAUAUCACGUACCUAUCACAGAAGAUCCCAUAUUAUUAUCGAGCGUUUAACAGUAACGGGAGUCAACUAAAUUAAAUACAUAGGUAACUAUAUUGUAUGAAUACAUCAACAUCAACAUUCAUCGACUCAACAAUCAAAAGUAUACCUCGUGGGAUUAGGUGCAUCAAAUUACAAACGACUAAAAAGGUAGAAAAGAUCACAAACAAAAAAUUGUUUACAGGUUUUAAUUUUUUGGAUUUUACGAAAAGUUUGAAAAUUGGACAAAGGACAUUAUAUUUCUGAGAAUGUUUUGCACAUGAACUUGGUUAGCGAUGACAAGAUCAUUGUGUAUGAUGUGAUUCAAUGUAUAAAAAGAGCCCCAUAAUUGAAUACCAAUCGUCCUACUAUAUUACAUAAAACAUUGGCUUGAUGAAAAGCUUAUAGAUUAUUAGUUUAAUUUCUAAUUGUAUGUAAUUGCAAGUUAAUAAAAAGUAUAGAAGACAGAAGCAAUCAAUGAAAAAAGAAGUCUGUGGUGUAAAGAUUCCUAUUUGUUUAUAUUUUUUU
Molecule: long non-coding RNA, 664 nt
Organism: Rhopalosiphum maidis (corn leaf aphid)
Lineage: Eukaryota; Metazoa; Arthropoda; Insecta; Hemiptera; Aphididae
Exons: 4
Source: RefSeq, a predicted model, not a curated record